RNAcentral lists this ribosomal RNA (427 nucleotides) under uncultured bacterium. Its description in RNAcentral is "bacterial SSU rRNA". It matches the Rfam family "Bacterial small subunit ribosomal RNA", at positions 355 to 774 of the family's 1533-position model. The record is from RNAcentral.
UGGGGAAUUUUGGACAAUGGGCGCAAGCCUGAUCCAGCAAUGCCGCGUGCAGGAUGAAGGCCUUCGGGUUGUAAACUGCUUUUGUACGGAACGAAACGGUCUUUUCUAACACAGAAGGCUAAUGACGGUACCUGAAGAAUAAGCACCGGCCAACUACGUGCCAGCAGCCGCGGUAAUACGUAGGGUGCAAGCGUUAAUCGGAAUUACUGGGCGUAAAGCGGGCGCAGGCGGUUAUGCAAGACAGAGGUGAAAUCCCCGGGCUCAACCUGGGAACUGCCUUUGUGACUGCAUAGCUAGAGUACGGUAGAGGGGGAUGGAAUUCCGCGUGUAGCAGUGAAAUGCGUAGAUAUGCGGGGGAACACCGAUGGCGAAGGCAAUCCCCUGGGCCUGCACUGACGCUCAUGCACGAAAGCGUGGGGAGCAAACA